This 777-nucleotide ribosomal RNA is filed under the name uncultured Neocallimastigales. Its description in RNAcentral is "partial large subunit ribosomal RNA". It matches the Rfam family "Eukaryotic large subunit ribosomal RNA", at positions 23 to 628 of the family's 3401-position model. The record is from RNAcentral. Lineage: Eukaryota; Fungi; Neocallimastigomycota; Neocallimastigomycetes; Neocallimastigales.
AGAGAUGUGUGAUGACGCAUAUCAAUAAGCGGAGGAAAAGAAACUAACUAGGAUUCCCUUAGUAACGGCGAGUGAAGCGGGAAGAGCUCAAAUUUGAAAUCUUCAAGGUUCUACCUUGACGAAUUGUAGUUUAAUAGAAGUGUUUUCUGUUAGUAGAGGUGGCUAAAAGUUCUUUGGAAUAGGACAUCAUAGAGGGUGAGAAUCCCGUAUUUGGUCAUUCCUCCUAGCGUUGUGAUACACUUUCAACGAGUCGGAUUGUUUGGGAAUGCAGUCCAAAAUGGGUGGUAAAUUUCAUCUAAAGCUAAAUAUUGGCGAGAGACCGAUAGCGAACAAGUACCGUGAGGGAAAGAUGAAAAGAACUUUGAAAAGAGAGUUAAACAGUACGUGAAAUUGUCAAAAGGGAAGCGUUUGACACCAGUGUUGUUUUCUCGAAAAUCAAUUAAAAAGUAUGGGAUUUUGUAUUGUUAAGACCUUAUCAGCUUACGGUACUUUUUUCUUACUCUUUUUAAUGCACUUUUCGUUUAACAAGUCAACAUCAAUUUCUUUUGUUGUAAAAGAGUCAUUGGAAGGUGGCUUUCACUUCGGUGAAAGUGUUUAUAGCCUUUGGCUUCUGCAAUCGGAGAGAUUGAGGUCUGCAGCGUAGAUCCUUCGGGGUUAGAUACGUAGAUGCUAAGUUAUAGUUUUUCAUAGACAACUUGUUGACUAUGAUUAAUCAUGUAGCUUACUCGUUUGCGCUAUUUUACCUACGCUUAGGAUGUUGAGUCGUAGAGCACGCAG